UUAAGUUAAUAAGGGCGCACGGUGGAUGCCUUGGCACUAGGAGCCGACGAAGGACGUGACAAACGACGAUAUGCCUUGGGUAGCUGUAAGUAAGCGAUGAUCCAGGGAUUUCCGAAUGGGGGAACCCAACAGGUAAUACCUGUUACCUACAUCUGUUAAGGAUGUGAGGAGGAAGACGCAGUGAACUGAAACAUCUAAGUAGCUGCAGGAAGAGAAAGCAAAAGCGAUUGCCUUAGUAGCGGCGAGCGAAACGGCAGAAGGGCAAACCGAAGAGUUUACUCUUCGGGGUUGUAGGACUGCAAUGUGGACUCAAAGAUUAUAGAAGAAUGAUUUGGGAAGAUCAGCCAAAGAGAGUAAUAGCCUCGUAUUUAAAAUAGUCUUUGUACUUAGCAGUAUCCUGAGUACGGCGGGACACGUGAAAUCCCGUCGGGAUCUGGGAGGACCAUCUCCCAACCCUAAAUACUCCCUAGUGACCGAUAGUGAACCAGUACCGUGAGGGAAAGGUGAAAAGCACCCCGGGAGGGGAGUGAAAUAGAACCUGAAACCGUGUGCCUACAACAAGUUCGAGCCCGUUAAUGGGUGAGAGCGUGCCUUUUGUAGAAUGAACCGGCGAGUUACGUUAUGAUGCGAGGUUAAGUUGAAGAGACGGAGCCGUAGGGAAACCGAGUCUGAAUAGGGCGCCUUAGUAUCAUGACGUAGACCCGAAACCAUGUGACCUACCCAUGAGCAGGUUGAAGGUGCGGUAAGACGCACUGGAGGACCGAACCAGGGCACGUUGAAAAGUGCUUGGAUGACUUGUGGGUAGCGGAGAAAUUCCAAACGAACUUGGAGAUAGCUGGUUCUCUCCGAAAUAGCUUUAGGGCUAGCGUCGACAUUAGAGAUUCUUGGAGGUAGAGCACUGUUUGGGUGAGGGGUCCAUCCCGGAUUACCAAUCUCAGAUAAACUCCGAAUGCCAAUGAAUUAUGGUCGGCAGUCAGACUGCGAGUGCUAAGAUCCGUAGUCGAAAGGGAAACAGCCCAGACCACCAGCUAAGGUCCCAAAAUAAUUGUUAAGUGGAAAAGGAUGUGGGGUUGCACAGACAACUAGGAUGUUAGCUUAGAAGCAGCUAUUCAUUCAAAGAGUGCGUAAUAGCUCACUAGUCGAGUGACCCUGCGCCGAAAAUGUACCGGGGCUAAAACAAUUUACCGAAGCUGUGGAUACCUUUAUAGGUAUGGUAGGAGAGCGUUCUAUGUGUGAUGAAGGUAUACCGUGAGGAGUGCUGGAACGCAUAGAAGUGAGAAUGCCGGUAUGAGUAGCGAAAGACAGGUGAGAAUCCUGUCCACCGUAAGACUAAGGUUUCCAGGGGAAGGCUCGUCCGCCCUGGGUUAGUCGGGACCUAAGGAGAGACCGAAAGGUGUAUCCGAUGGACAACAGGUUGAUAUUCCUGUACUAGAGUAUGUAGUGAUGGAGGGACGCAGUAGGCUAACUAAAGCAGACGAUUGGAAGAGUCUGUCUAAGCAGUGAGGUGUGAAUUGAGUCAAAUGCUUAAUUCUAUAACAUUGAGCUGUGAUGGGGAGCGAAGUUUAGUAGCGAAGUUAGUGACGUCACACUGCCAAGAAAAGCUUCUAGCGUUUAAACAUACUCUACCCGUACCGCAAACCGACACAGGUAGUCGAGGCGAGUAGCCUCAGGUGAGCGAGAGAACUCUCGUUAAGGAACUCGGCAAAAUGACCCCGUAACUUCGGGAGAAGGGGUGCUGACUUAAAGUCAGCCGCAGUGAAUAGGCCCAAGCAACUGUUUAUCAAAAACACAGCUCUCUGCUAAAUCGUAAGAUGAUGUAUAGGGGGUGACGCCUGCCCGGUGCUGGAAGGUUAAGAGGAGUGCUUAGCGUAAGCGAAGGUAUGAAUUGAAGCCCCAGUAAACGGCGGCCGUAACUAUAACGGUCCUAAGGUAGCGAAAUUCCUUGUCGGGUAAGUUCCGACCCGCACGAAAGGCGUAAUGAUUUGGGCACUGUCUCAACGAGAGACUCGGUGAAAUUUUAGUACCUGUGAAGAUGCAGGUUACCCGCGACAGGACGGAAAGACCCCAUGGAGCUUUACUGCAGUUUGAUAUUGAGUGUCUGUACCACAUGUACAGGAUAGGUAGGAGUCUAAGAGAUCGGGACGCCAGUUUCGAAGGAGACGCUGUUGGGAUACUACCCUUGUGUUAUGGCCACUCUAACCCAGAUAGGCGAUCCCUAUCGGAGACAGUGUCUGACGGGCAGUUUGACUGGGGCGGUCGCCUCCUAAAAGGUAACGGAGGCGCCCAAAGGUUCCCUCAGAAUGGUUGGAAAUCAUUCGCAGAGUGUAAAGGUAUAAGGGAGCUUGACUGCGAGAGCUACAACUCGAGCAGGGACGAAAGUCGGGCUUAGUGAUCCGGUGGUUCCGUAUGGAAGGGCCAUCGCUCAACGGAUAAAAGCUACCCUGGGGAUAACAGGCUUAUCUCCCCCAAGAGUUCACAUCGACGGGGAGGUUUGGCACCUCGAUGUCGGCUCGUCGCAUCCCGGGGCUGUAGUCGGUCCCAAGGGUUGGGCUGUUCGCCCAUUAAAGCGGCACGCGAGCUGGGUUCAGAACGUCGUGAGACAGUUCGGUCCCUAUCCGUCGCGGGCGUAGGAAAUUUGAGAGGAUCUGCUCCUAGUACGAGAGGACCAGAGUGGACUUACCGCUGGUGUACCAGUUGUCUUGCCAAAGGCAUCGCUGGGUAGCUAUGUAGGGAAGGGAUAAACGCUGAAAGCAUCUAAGUGUGAAACCCACCUCAAGAUGAGAUUUCCCAUGAUUAUAUAUCAGUAAGAGCCCUGAGAGAUGAUCAGGUAGAUAGGUUAGAAGUGGAAGUGUGGCGACACAUGUAGCGGACUAAUACUAAUAGCUCGAGGACUUAUCCAA
This 2900-nucleotide ribosomal RNA is filed under the name Streptococcus pneumoniae. Its description in RNAcentral is "bacterial LSU rRNA". It matches the Rfam family "Bacterial large subunit ribosomal RNA". Lineage: Bacteria; Bacillati; Bacillota; Bacilli; Lactobacillales; Streptococcaceae. The record is from RNAcentral.